UGAGGGAUAUUGCACAAUGGGCGCAAGCCUGAUGCAGCGACGCCGCGUGAGGGAUGACGGCUUCGGGUUGUAAACCUCUUUCAGUAGGGACGAAGCGCAAGUGACGGUACCUACAGAAGAAGCACCGGCCAACUACGUG
RNAcentral lists this ribosomal RNA (139 nucleotides) under uncultured bacterium. Its description in RNAcentral is "partial 16S ribosomal RNA". It matches the Rfam family "Bacterial small subunit ribosomal RNA", at positions 355 to 507 of the family's 1533-position model. The record is from RNAcentral.